This 486-nucleotide ribosomal RNA is filed under the name uncultured bacterium. RNAcentral's name for it is "partial 16S ribosomal RNA". It matches the Rfam family "Bacterial small subunit ribosomal RNA", at positions 30 to 507 of the family's 1533-position model. The record is from RNAcentral.
AUUGAACGCUGGCGGCAUGCCUUACACAUGCAAGUCGAACGGCAGCACGGGUGCUUGCACCUGGUGGCGAGUGGCGAACGGGUGAGUAAUACAUCGGAACAUGUCCUGUAGUGGGGGAUAGCCCGGCGAAAGCCGGAUUAAUACCGCAUACGAUCCACGGAUGAAAGCGGGGGACCUUCGGGCCUCGCGCUAUAGGGUUGGCCGAUGGCUGAUUAGCUAGUUGGUGGGGUAAAGGCCUACCAAGGCGACGAUCAGUAGCUGGUCUGAGAGGACGACCAGCCACACUGGGACUGAGACACGGCCCAGACUCCUACGGGAGGCAGCAGUGGGGAAUUUUGGACAAUGGGCGAGAGCCUGAUCCAGCAAUGCCGCGUGUGUGAAGAAGGCCUUCGGGUUGUAAAGCACUUUUGUCCGGAAAGAAAUCCUUGACUCUAAUACAGUCGGGGGAUGACGGUACCGGAAGAAUAAGCACCGGCUAACUACGUG